Molecule: ribosomal RNA, 338 nt
Filed under: uncultured bacterium
Lineage: Bacteria
Description: bacterial SSU rRNA
Rfam family: Bacterial small subunit ribosomal RNA
Source: RNAcentral
ACUCCUACGGGAGGCAGCAGUGGGGGAAUAUUGCACAAUGGGCGCAAGCCUGAUGCAGCAACGCCGCGUGAGCGAUGAAGGCCUCGGUCGUAAAGCUCUGUCCUCAAGAAGAAUAAAUAGACGGUACUUGUAGGAGGAAGGCCCGGGCCGUAACCUACGUGCCAGCAGCCGCGGUAAUACGUAGGGGCGAAGCGUUAUCCGGAAUCACUGGCGUAAGGGUGCGUAGGCGGUUUUCUAAGUCAGAAGUGAAAGGCUAUGGCUCAACCAUAGUAAGCUUUUGAAACUGUUAAACUUGAGUUGCAGGAGAGGAAAGUGGAAUUCCUAGUGUAGAGGUGAAA